CGUGCUUAACACAUGCAAGUCGAGCGAGAAAGUCGACUUCGGUCGAUGAGUAAAGCGGCGAACGGGUGAGUAACACGUGGGUAACCUGCCUAGAAGUGGGGGAUAACCUGGGGAAACUCGGGCUAAUACCGCAUACGACCGCGGCACUGCGGUGCUGUGAGGAAAGCUGGUCAAUGCUUGCAAACUGGCGCGUUUUAGAGGGGCCCGCGCCCGAUUAGGUAGUUGGUGAGGUAACGGCUCACCAAGCCGACGAUCGGUAGCCGGCCUGAGAGGGCGAUCGGCCACACUGGGACUGAGACACGGCCCAGACUCCUACGGGAGGCAGCAGUGGGGAAUAUUGGACAAUGGGGGCAACCCUGAUCCAGCAACGCCGUGUGGAGGACGAAGGUUUUCGGAUCGUAAACUCCUGUCAGUUGGGACGAAAAGCUGUCGGUCAAUAGCCGGCAGUCAUGACGGUACCAGCAGAGGAAGCCCCGGCUAACUCCGUG
Molecule: ribosomal RNA, 488 nt
Filed under: uncultured bacterium
Lineage: Bacteria
Description: bacterial SSU rRNA
Rfam family: Bacterial small subunit ribosomal RNA
Source: RNAcentral